GAUGAACGCUGGCGGCGUGCCUAAUACAUGCAAGUCGAGCGAACGGACGAGAAGCUUGCUUUUCUGAUGUUAGCGGCGGACGGGUGAGUAACACGUGGAUAACCUACCUAUAAGACUGGGAUAACUUCGGGAAACCGGAGCUAAUACCGGAUAAUAUUUUGAACCGCAUGGUUCAAAAGUGAAAGACGGUCUUGCUGUCACUUAUAGAUGGAUCCGCGCUGCAUUAGCUAGUUGGUAAGGUAACGGCUUACCAAGGCAACGAUGCAUAGCCGACCUGAGAGGGUGAUCGGCCACACUGGAACUGAGACACGGUCCAGACUCCUACGGGAGGCAGCAGUAGGGAAUCUUCCGCAAUGGGCGAAAGCCUGACGGAGCAACGCCGCGUGAGUGAUGAAGGUCUUCGGAUCGUAAAACUCUGUUAUUAGGGAAAAACAUAUGUGUAAGUAACUGUGCACAUCUUGACGGUACCUAAUCAGAAAGCCACGGCUAACUACGUG
This 497-nucleotide ribosomal RNA is filed under the name uncultured bacterium. RNAcentral's name for it is "partial 16S ribosomal RNA". It matches the Rfam family "Bacterial small subunit ribosomal RNA", at positions 28 to 507 of the family's 1533-position model. The record is from RNAcentral.